AACUAACCAGGAUUCCCUCAGUAACGGCGAGUGAAGCGGGAAAAGCUCAGACUUAUAAUCUUCGGAAAUGUAGUCUGUUGAGACCACGCCAGUUCUUGACGGAGGGUUAAAUCCCCUGGAAUGGGGUACAAGAUAGGGUGAAAGUCCCAUUCAAGCCUUCUGUCUGAGUGUACGGCCAGUCUUCAUUGAGUCGAGUUGCUUGGGAUUGCAGCUCAAAGUGGGUGGUAAAUUCCAUCUAAAGCUAAAUAUAGGUGAGAGACCGAUAGCAAACAAGUACCGUGAGGGAAAGAUGAAAAGAACUUUGAAAAGAGAGUUAAAGAGUACCUGAAAUUGCUAGAAUGGAACCGAUGGGAAGUAGUGUUGCGGGCGACAUUGUCCAACUUGUUUACAAGCUGGAAAUUUUGUUGCAUAGCAAGUCAUUCUCGAUUACUUCCGCCAAAGACCACCUCGAACUGUAUAGUUCAAGGAACCCUUGUGGGAUGGAUCGAAAUUGACGAAAUACUUCUCAUCAUCCCGUCUUGAAACACGGACCAAGGAGUCUAACAUGUCUGCAAGUGCUUGGAGUUUACCUCCGUGCGCGAAAUUAACGUAAAGUCGGACUUGUCCGAUGAGGUAGGAAAUUUGCACUAUCGACCGACCAUGCUCCUACGGGAAAAAGGUUUGAGUGUGAGCACACAUGUUGGGACCCGAAAGAUGGUGAACUAUGCUUGAGUAGGACGAAGCCAGGGGAAACUCUGGUGGAGGUCCGUCGCGAUUCUAACGUGCAAAUUGAUCGUCGAACUUGGGUAUAGGGGCGAAAGACUAAUCGAACCAUCUAGUAGCUGGUUCCUCCCGAAAUUUCCCUCAGGAUAGCUGCAACCGAACAGUUUUAUCAGGUAAAGCGAAUGAUUAGAGGCCUCAGGGGUGGAACGUCCUUGACCUAUUCUCAAACUUUAAAUGGGUAAGAACCCGGAGUUGCUUAAUUGAACUCUGCGGUCGAAUGACGGUUGCUAGUGGGCCAAUCUGGGUAAGCUAGAUUGGCGAUGCGGGAUGAACCGAACGCUGAGUUAAAGUGCCAAAAUGUCCGCUAACCUAGACCCCACAAAAGGUGUUGGUUCAUUAAGACAGCAGGACGGUGGCCAUGGAAGUCGGAAACCGCUAAGGAGUGUGUAACAACUCACCUGCCGAAUGAACUAGCCCUGAAAAUGGAUGGCGCUAAAGCGGAAUACUUAUACUCAGCCAACCCCGCAAGUACAAUGCGGUGUUGAGUAGGGGGGCGUGGAGCUUGCUGUGCAUUCUUUGGCGUGAGCCAGGAUGAAGCGAGCUCUAGUGCAGAUCUUGGUAGCAGUAGCAAAUAUUCAAAUGAGAACUUUGAAGACUGACGUGGAGAAAGGUUCCAUGUGAACAGUAAUUGGACAUGGGUUAGUCGACCCUUAGAGAUAAGAAAAUUCUGUUUGAAAUAAAUCCUUUCUCGGAAGGGUUUGCUUAUCGAAAGGGAAUCAGGUUAAUAUUCCUGAACCGAGACGUGGAUAUUGAGUGGUAACACAAGCAAAAUCGGAGACGUUGGCGAGAGCCCCGGGAAUAGUUCUCUUUUCUUCUUAACAACUCUGUAGACCUUGGAAUCGGAUUGCCCGGCGGUAAGGUUUACAGGUUGGAAAAGCGACAUAAUUUUUGUGUCGUCCGGUGCGCUCUCGACGACCCUUGAAAAUCCGGUGGCGUGACUUAUUUACACCCUCGGUCGUACUCAUAACCGCCUCAGGUCUCCAAGGUGAGCAGCCUCUAGUCAAUAGAAUAAUGUAGAUAAGGGAAGUCGGCAAAAUAGAUCCGUAACCUCGGGAUAAGGAUUGGCUCUGAGGGUUGGGCCUAGGGGUCUCUGAAUCGAUAGAAGUGGCGGCUGGGAGAGGACUGCGGCUUCGCGGCUGCGGACUUCAUUCGGCUGCUCUCUUGAAGUUUGGAGAACGUCUUCGGACUUUCCCUAGUGCGUGGAACAACCAACUCAGAACUGGAGCGGACAAGGGGAAUCCGACUGUUUAAUUAAAACAAAGCAUUGCGAUGGCUGGAGACGGUGUUGACGCAAUGUGAUUUCUGCC
Molecule: ribosomal RNA, 2069 nt
Filed under: Synura sphagnicola
Lineage: Eukaryota; Synurophyceae; Synurales; Mallomonadaceae
Description: partial large subunit ribosomal RNA
Rfam family: Eukaryotic large subunit ribosomal RNA
Source: RNAcentral